UACGAAGUAGCAAUACUUAGUGGCGAACGGGUGAGUAAUAUGUGGGAAUCUACCUUUCGGUCUGGAAUAACAUGGGGAAACUUAUGCUAAUACCGGAUAAGCCUUUACAGGGAAAGCUUCAUGCUCCGAUUGAUGAGUCCACACUUGAUUAGUUAGUUGGUGAGGUAAUAGCUCACCAAGACAAUGAUCAAUAGCUGAUUUGAGAGGAUGAUCAGCCACAUUGGGACUGAGACACGGCCCAAACUCCUACGGGAGGCAGCAGUGGGGAAUCUUGCACAAUGGGGGAAACCCUGAUGCAGCGAUGCCGCGUGAGUGAAGAAGGCCCUUGGGUUGUAAAGCUCUUUCGUCGGGGAAGAAAAUGACUGUACCCGAAUAAGAAGGUCCGGCUAACUUCGUGCCAGCAGCCGCGGUAAUACGAAGGGACCUAGCGUAGUUCGGAAUUACUGGGCUUAAAGAGCACGUAGGUGGUUAAAAAAGUUGGUGGUGAAAUCCCAGAGCUUAACUCUGGAACUGCCAUCAAAACUUUUUAGCUAGAGCAUGAUAGAGGAAAGUAGAAUUUCUAGUGUAGAGGUGAAAUUCGUAGAUAUUAGAAAGAAUACCAAUUGCGAAGGCAGCUUUCUGGAUCAUUGCUGACACUGAGGUGCGAAAGCAUGGGUAGCGAAGAGGAUUAGAUACCCUCGUAGUCCAUGCCGUAAACGAUGUGUGCUAGACGUUGGAAAUUUAUUUUCAGUGUCGCAGCAAAAGCAUUAAGCACACCGCCUGGGGAGUACGACCGCAAGGUUAAAACUCAAAUGAAUUGACGGGGAC
Molecule: ribosomal RNA, 807 nt
Filed under: uncultured Pelagibacterales bacterium
Lineage: Bacteria; Pseudomonadati; Pseudomonadota; Alphaproteobacteria; Candidatus Pelagibacterales
Description: bacterial SSU rRNA
Rfam family: Bacterial small subunit ribosomal RNA
Source: RNAcentral